This 562-nucleotide non-coding RNA is filed under the name Pan troglodytes (chimpanzee). The record is from RNAcentral. Lineage: Eukaryota; Metazoa; Chordata; Mammalia; Primates; Hominidae.
ACCUGCCUGCAGAUACAAACCCCACUCCCUGCGAAGAUGGUGUACACGCAGCCCCGAGCACAGACCCGAAGCUGUCCACCCUUCUUGGGCGCCGUCGCGGUCUGGCCGCUGCCCUUCGAACCCAUGCCAUGUUGGAACUACAUUUGGAAAGGUGGUUGUUAAACAUUUCCCAGCACACACCUGGAUCUGCAUCUGCUGUGUCAAUUGAACCACUCACUGGUUCUGUGACCUCAGUUCUUCGUAGACUCUGGAAUGGAGCUGGAAGCUGUCAUCCUCAGCACACUAACGCAGGAACAGAAAACCAAGCACUGCAUGUUCCCACUUAUAAGUGAGAGCUGAACGAGCAGAACACAUGGACAUAUGAAGGGGAACAACACACUCUGGGGCCUGUGAGGUGCGGGGAGAGCAUCAAGAAGAACAGCUAAUGGGUGCUGGGCUUAAUACCUGGGUGAUGGGUUGAUCUGUGCGGCAAACCACCAUGGCACACAUUUACCUAUGUAACAAACCUGGACAUCCUGCACAUGUACCCCGGAACUUAAAAAUAAAAGUUGACAAAAAGAAA